UAUGGCCUACGGGGCGCAGCAGUAGGGAAUCUUCCACAAUGGACGAAAGUCUGAUGGAGCAACGCCGCGUGAGUGAAGAAGGGUUUCGGAUCGUAAAACCCUGUUGUUAGAGAAGAAAGUGCGUGAGAGUAACUGUUCACGUUUCGACGGUAUCUAACCAGAAAGCCACGGCUAACUACGUGCCAGCAGCCGCGGUAAUACGUAGGUGGCAAGCGUUAUCCGGAUUUAUUGGGCGUAAAGGGAACGCAGGCGGUCUUUUAAGUCUGAUGUGAAAGCCUUCGGCUUAACCGGAGUAGUGCAUUGGA
This 305-nucleotide ribosomal RNA is filed under the name uncultured bacterium. RNAcentral describes it as "bacterial SSU rRNA". It matches the Rfam family "Bacterial small subunit ribosomal RNA", at positions 333 to 630 of the family's 1533-position model. The record is from RNAcentral.